GGCCCAGACUCCUACGGGAGGCAGCAGUCGGGAAUAUUGCGCAAUGGAGGAAACUCUGACGCAGUGACGCCGCGUAUAGGAAGAAGGUUUUCGGAUUGUAAACUAUUGUCGUGAGGGAAGAAAUUGACAGUACCUCAGGAGGAAGCUCCGGCUAACUAUGUGCCAGCAGCCGCGGUAAUACGUAGGGAGCGAGCGUUGUCCGGAAUUACUGGGUGUAAAGGGAGCGUAGGCGGGACGGCAAGUCAGAUGUGAAAACUGAGGGCUCAACCUUCAGACUGCAUUUGAAACUGCUGUUCUUGAGUGAAGUAGAGGUAAGCGGAAUUCCUAGUGUAGCGGUGAAAUGCGUAGAUAUUAGGAGGAACAUCGGUGGCGAAGGCGGCUUACUGGGCUUUUACUGACGCUGAGGCUCGAAAGCGUGGGGAGCAAACAGAAUUAGAUACCCGCGUAA
This 448-nucleotide ribosomal RNA is filed under the name uncultured bacterium. Its description in RNAcentral is "bacterial SSU rRNA". It matches the Rfam family "Bacterial small subunit ribosomal RNA", at positions 328 to 793 of the family's 1533-position model. The record is from RNAcentral.